Molecule: ribosomal RNA, 330 nt
Filed under: uncultured bacterium
Lineage: Bacteria
Description: bacterial SSU rRNA
Rfam family: Bacterial small subunit ribosomal RNA
Source: RNAcentral
UGUGUAGGCGGUUGCUUAAGUUUGGUGUGAAAUCUCCCGGCUCAACUGGGAGGGUGCGCCGAAUACUGAGUGACUCGAGUGCGGGAGAGGAGAGUGGAAUUCCUGGUGUAGCGGUGAAAUGCGUAGAUAUCAGGAGGAACACCGGUGGUGUAGACGGCUCUCUGGACCGUAACUGACGCUGAGACACGAAAGCGUGGGUAGCAAACAGGAUUAGAUACCCUGGUAGUCCACGCCCUAAACGAUGCAUAUUUGGUGUGGGCAGUUCAGUCUGUCCGUGCCGGAGCUAACGCGUUAAAUAUGCCGCCUGGGGAGUACAGUCGCAAGGCUGAA